UAGCCCGUGAGGCCUGUACGGGUCCCUCUGCAUCGGGUCGGAGCGAGGGGAAUAGGUGGGGGCAGCUCGGAGACCCGGCAGUCGGGGCCUGAGAGGGGCUUCCAGACCCUGCCCUCGAGGGUCAAGGAAGUCGGUCCGGCCGCCCUUCCGGGGGAGGCCUCUGUGCCCCAAGUUCUCUUUCUGCACUCCGGGGGACCCGGGUUAUGUCAGGUCCACGAGCUCAUCCCUCAUAUGACUGUGUGUCAGGAAAGAAGGGGAACAGAGCUCGUGACAGGCGCCGCCCCUCGGCCCAACCGGCCCCUGGGACCUGCCUCAGCUCUUUCGGGAGUUGACCCCUAAAGGAACCACACACUGAGCGAACACCUAGGCAGUGGGGUCGGGGUUUCUUGUAUUUUCAUGCCCUUCAGAGGCUCACAAUCAUCCUGUAAGAAGAAAAACUUCAUGUGUGUAUGGCAUGAUCAGUACAGAGAAUGUAAGAAUCUUUUCCCCUCCCCGACUUGCACUCUGUGUCUCUCUCUCUCUC
Molecule: long non-coding RNA, 523 nt
Organism: Leopardus geoffroyi (Geoffroy's cat)
Lineage: Eukaryota; Metazoa; Chordata; Mammalia; Carnivora; Felidae
Exons: 2
Source: RefSeq, a predicted model, not a curated record